UGGGGAAUUUUGGACAAUGGGGGCAACCCUGAUCCAGCCAUGCCGCGUGAGUGAAGAAGGCCUUCGGGUUGUAAAGCUCUUUCGGACGGGACGAAAUGGUUAGCGUGAAUAACGCUGACUGAUGACGGUACUCGGAGAAGAAGCUCCGGCUAACUUCGUGCCAGCAGCCGCGGUAAUACGAAGGGGGCUAGCGUUGUUCGGAUUUACUGGGCGUAAAGCGCGUGUAGGCGGGUCGUUAAGUUGGGGGUGAAAUCCCGAGGCUCAACCUCGGAACUGCCUCCAAAACUGGCGACCUGGAGCAGAUGAGAGGCGAGUGGAAUUCCGAGUGUAGAGGUGAAAUUCGUAGAUAUUCGGAGGAACACCAGUGGCGAAGGCGACUCGCUGGCAUCUUGCUGACGCUGAGACGCGAAAGCGUGGGGAGCAAACAGGAUUAGAUACCCCAGUAGUCCCUGAGCGGGCUGGCAAGGCGCAU
Molecule: ribosomal RNA, 472 nt
Filed under: uncultured bacterium
Lineage: Bacteria
Description: bacterial SSU rRNA
Rfam family: Bacterial small subunit ribosomal RNA
Source: RNAcentral